This 468-nucleotide ribosomal RNA is filed under the name uncultured bacterium. RNAcentral describes it as "partial 16S ribosomal RNA". It matches the Rfam family "Bacterial small subunit ribosomal RNA", at positions 28 to 507 of the family's 1533-position model. The record is from RNAcentral.
GACGAACGCUGGCGGCGUGCUUAACACAUGCAAGUCGAACGGAAAGGCCCUGCUUUUGUGGGGGGCUCGAGUGGCGAACGGGUGAGUAACACGUGAGUAACCUGCCCUUGACUUUGGGAUAACUUCAGGAAACUGGGGCUAAUACCGGAUAGGAGCUCCUGCUGCAUGGUGGGGGUUGGAAAGUUUCGGCGGUUGGGGAUGGACUCGCGGCUGAUCAGCUUGUUGGUGGGGUAGUGGCUUACCAAGGCUUUGACGGGUAGCCGGCCUGAGAGGGUGACCGGCCACAUUGGGACUGAGAUACGGCCCAGACUCCUACGGGAGGCAGCAGUGGGGAAUAUUGCACAAUGGGCGGAAGCCUGAUGCAGCAACGCCGCGUGCGGGAUGACGGCCUUCGGGUUGUAAACCGCUUUCGCCUGUGACGAAGCGUGAGUGACGGUAAUGGGUAAAGAAGCACCGGCUAACUACGUG